AGUGAACGCUGGCGGCGUGCUUAACACAUGCAAGUCGAACGAGAACGGGUUAUAGCUUGCUAUAAUUGUCAGCUAAGUGGCGCACGGGUGAGUAAUGUAUAGGUAAUAUGCCUCUUACUAAGGGAUAACAAUUGGAAACGAUUGCUAAUACCUUAUACUCCUUAUUAACCUAAGUUAAUAAGGGAAAGAUUUAUUGGUAAGAGAUUAGCCUGUAUUGUAUCAGUUAGUUGGUGGGGUAAUGGCCUACCAAGACUAUGACACAUAACUGGUUUGAGAGGAUGAACAGUCACACUGGAACUGAGACACGUCCCAGACUCCUACGGGAGGCAGCAGUGGGAAAUAUUGAAAAAUGGACGAAAGUCUGAUGCAGCAACGCCGCGUGGAGGAUGACACAUUUCGGUGCGUAAACUCCUUUUAUAUGAGAAGAUAAUGACGGUAUUAUAUGAAUAAGCACCGGCUAACUCCGUGCCAGCAGCCGCGGUAA
RNAcentral lists this ribosomal RNA (484 nucleotides) under uncultured bacterium. RNAcentral describes it as "partial 16S ribosomal RNA". It matches the Rfam family "Bacterial small subunit ribosomal RNA", at positions 29 to 523 of the family's 1533-position model. The record is from RNAcentral.